AAGCGUAAUCUAUACCAUAGAAUUUUGAGAUAACAUAUGAGAAGAUGGCUUCAAUAGUAUGCUUUCAGUUAAGAAAAAAAAAAACAAUGGGGUCACCGGACCCGUUUUCUUGCUACAUUAUAAAAUAGGUAAAUUCCUAACACAUUCUAUUGUAAAAGUUCCUUAAUCUGAAUUAUCUGCCCUUGCAUUUGAGUUGCCUCCCCUUAUGUGGCAAAGUUAGAAAAAAAUUGAUCAAACAAAAGUUUUCUGUUUUUUGUAAAAUAUAACCAUAAAUAUGAUAAAACAUGUCAUUUUCUAUAUCGAAGUGGAAGUUCUUACACAUGAAUUACCUACUACUCUAAAAAUUUGCACAUUCUAUUAAAGAUGUAGACCUUGCUUUCUGGUAUUUCCAAA
RNAcentral lists this long non-coding RNA (393 nucleotides) under Mytilus galloprovincialis (Mediterranean mussel). The record is from RNAcentral. Lineage: Eukaryota; Metazoa; Mollusca; Bivalvia; Mytilida; Mytilidae.